GAUGAACGCUGGCGGCGUGCUUAACACAUGCAAGUCGAACGGGAUCCAUCAGGCUUUGCUUGGUGGUGAGAGUGGCGAACGGGUGAGUAAUGCGUGACCGACCUGCCCCAUACACCGGAAUAGCUCCUGGAAACGGGUGGUAAUGCCGGAUGCUCCGACUCCUCGCAUGGGGUGUCGGGAAAGAUUCAUCGGUAUGGGAUGGGGUCGCGUCCUAUCAGGUAGUCGGCGGGGUAACGGCCCACCGAGCCUACGACGGGUAGCCGGCCUGAGAGGGCGACCGGCCACAUUGGGACUGAGAUACGGCCCAGACUCCUACGGGAGGCAGCAGUGGGGAAUAUUGCACAAUGGGCGCAAGCCUGAUGCAGCGACGCCGCGUGCGGGAUGACGGCCUUCGGGUUGUAAACCGCUUUUGAUCGGGAGCAAGCCUUCG
This 430-nucleotide ribosomal RNA is filed under the name uncultured bacterium. Its description in RNAcentral is "bacterial SSU rRNA". It matches the Rfam family "Bacterial small subunit ribosomal RNA", at positions 28 to 456 of the family's 1533-position model. The record is from RNAcentral.